CAGGAAGGGCUCUCUUUUCCCCUCCGCUCCUGCUCCAGCGGCACGAUGUGAUACACAGCAAGGAGGGGCGCCAAUAAGGCAUCUGAUAAGAUUCAGUUCUUUUACCUGUGGAGGCCUGACUAUUGCAACACCAUUUGUUGAAAGGUGAUCUUUGAUCUGCUGUGUUGCCUUUGAUUCCCCACCAAAGAUCAGUGGACUGGAUUUUGGAAUUUGAGAAUUACUGAAAGACCCCCGAAGAGGUACUUUCGUAGAGGGAGACCCGCACCCAGGAAUCAGCGAGACCACGAACUUGGAUGCAAACUGCAAGAGGCUUUAUUGGAGAUACGGGUACCCGGGCGACUUAGCUUCUGUGAGGCCAAGCGCGCCGAGCCAAGGGAAAGGGGUCCUUAUAUAGGGAAAAAGGCGCAAGCUAGAAGCAGGGAUUCUAUUGGAUAAUUCUAAUGAGGCAUUGUACAGAGCUAUUCCCAUUGGUCA
Molecule: long non-coding RNA, 474 nt
Filed under: Cricetulus griseus (Chinese hamster)
Lineage: Eukaryota; Metazoa; Chordata; Mammalia; Rodentia; Cricetidae
Description: lncRNA (ENSCGRG00015034490.1)
Source: RNAcentral